This 406-nucleotide ribosomal RNA is filed under the name uncultured bacterium. RNAcentral describes it as "partial 16S ribosomal RNA". It matches the Rfam family "Bacterial small subunit ribosomal RNA", at positions 30 to 526 of the family's 1533-position model. The record is from RNAcentral.
AUUGAACGCUGGCGGCAGGCUUAACACAUGCAAGUCGAACGAGUGGCGGACGGGUGAGUAAUGCUUGGGAAUCUAGCUUAUGGAGGGGGAUAACUACGGGAAACUGUAGCUAAUACCGCGUACCAUAGGAUGAGCCCAAUUGGGAUUAGGUAGUUGGUGAGGUAAAGGCUCACCAAGCCGACGAUCUCUAGCUGGGCGGAGAGGAUGACCAGCAACACUGGGACUGAGCAACGGCCCAGACUCCUACGGGAGGCAGCAGUGGGGAAUAUUGCGCAAGGGGGGCAACCCUGACGCAGCCAUGCCGCGUGUAGGAAGAAGGCCUUAGGUUUGUAAAGUACUUUCAGCGGGGAGGCGUUACCCGCAGAAGAAGCACCGGCUAACUCCGUGCCAGCCGCCGCGGUAAUAC